AGAGCUUCUCAUGCAGCCUGCACCAGCGCCGGGUCGGAGAGUCAGAGGCCACCCUGAGAUGGACCGAGAUCUUCAGUUGGGGAGGCGCCUCCGGUGAGCUUGCGGCCAGAUGCCCCCUCAGUAGUCCUCCGCAACAGGUGCCGCGCAGCCGAGUGGCGGGCUAGCAUACCGCCUGCCCGCAAUUCGGCCAGGCCUCGAGCCUGCUCCGCCUUCCCGCUGCGGUAGCGCCGCCGGGGAAACGCCGCCACGGGCUGCAUGGGCAGCGCUCGCGCCCCGCCGCUGAGCCGCCGGGGAGCCGUCCAGUCUUCGAAUCCCAGAAACACAAAGAUGGUGCAGACCCAGGCCCUGCUUUGACUGGGAGAAAGAUGCAUUCAGUUGACUAAAACUUGAACAGGGCAGUUUACUUCUAUAGAAGGGUGCACCCUCACAGAUGGACCAAUGUGUCAGGAGAAUUCAGUCACACCCAAAGCAGGAGGUAAUAAGACACCGAAGUGAGGACUUCACAGGCUGCUUGGGAGAAGACAAUCAUCCGUGGGCUUGGGAAAGGGAGAAAUGCCUACUGAGUUUAGGGAAUUGCUUGCUGGAAGAAAUGAUG
This 595-nucleotide long non-coding RNA is filed under the name Homo sapiens (human). RNAcentral's name for it is "HSALNT0409457". The record is from RNAcentral. Lineage: Eukaryota; Metazoa; Chordata; Mammalia; Primates; Hominidae.